Molecule: ribosomal RNA, 698 nt
Filed under: uncultured Actinomycetes bacterium
Lineage: Bacteria; Bacillati; Actinomycetota; Actinomycetes
Description: bacterial SSU rRNA
Rfam family: Bacterial small subunit ribosomal RNA
Source: RNAcentral
CAAGUGGUGCGACGAACCAAGGCUUGCCCUGGGGGCAAANCCCCGAACGGGUGAGUAACACGUGAGUAACCUGCCCCGAUGACCGGGACAACCCGAGGAAACUCGGGCUAAUACCGGAUGUGGAGCACUGGCCCAAGCCUGUGCUCUAAAGGAAGCUUCGGCCUCCGCAUUGGGAGGGGCUCGCGGCCCAUUAGCUUGUUGGUGGGGUAACGGCCUACCAAGGCAACGAUGGGUAGCUGGUCUGAGAGGACGAUCAGCCACACUGGGACUGAGACACGGCCCAGACUCCUACGGGAGGCAGCAGUGGGGAAUCUUGCGCAAUGCGCGAAAGCGUGACGCAGCAACGCCGCGUGGGGGAAGAAUGCCUUCGGGUUGUAAACCCCUUUCAGGAGGGACGAAGGUUCGCCGGUGAAUAGCCGUGCGGAUUGACGGUACCUCCAGAAGAAGCUCCGGCUAACCACGUGCCAGCAGCCGCGGUAAUACGUAGGGAGCAAGCGUUGUCCGGAAUCAUUGGGCGUAAAGCGCGCGUUAGGCGGCCCUGUAAGUCCGCUGUGAAAAGUCAAAGGCUCAACCUUUGAAAGCCGGUUGGAUACUGCAGGGCUAAAGUCCGGAAGAAGGCGAGUGGAAUUCCUGGGUGUAGCGGUGGGAAUUGCGCAGAUAUCAGGAGGAACACCCAAUAGCGAAGGCACCUCGCUGGG